GACGGAGGAUGCGAGUGUUAUCCGGAAUCAUUGGGCGUAAAGCGUCUGUAGGUUGUUUAAAAAGUCUACUGUUAAAGAUUGAAGCUCAACUUCAGAAAUGCCUUAGAAACUUUUAAACUUGAGUAUGGUAGGGGUAAAGGGAAUUUCCAGUGGAGCGGUGGAAUGCGUAGAGAUUGGAAAGACCACCAAUGGCGAAGGCACUUUACUGGGCCAUUACUGACACUGAGAGACGAAAGCUAGGGGAGCAAAUGGG
This 253-nucleotide ribosomal RNA is filed under the name uncultured bacterium. RNAcentral describes it as "partial 16S ribosomal RNA". It matches the Rfam family "Bacterial small subunit ribosomal RNA", at positions 524 to 776 of the family's 1533-position model. The record is from RNAcentral.